Molecule: long non-coding RNA, 11062 nt
Filed under: Solanum tuberosum (potato)
Lineage: Eukaryota; Viridiplantae; Streptophyta; Magnoliopsida; Solanales; Solanaceae
Description: long non-coding RNA (STUB_LNC008388)
Source: RNAcentral
GCACCUUCAUUAACUAGUGAUCAACAUGGGCACAUUCAACAUAUGCUAGAUGGAGACAUUUCUACUGCUAAUGUGAUGGCUAACAUGGCAGGUAUGGCUCAUACUCUUGAAUCUAAGUUUGCAGACUUAGAAUGGAUAAUUGAUAGUGGUGCCACUAACCACAUGGUUUCUAGUUUAGAUGUCUUAUAUGAUGUGAAAGAGGUUAAACCUGAUCAGAACAGGAAGGUACAUUUACCUAAUGGAGGAGUGACUUUUGUUACUCAUACUGGUAGCUGCAAUGUCAUGGACACAAGAGAAUUACAUGAUGUUCUGUUUGUGCCUCAGUUUCAUUAUAAUCUUUUGUCCAUAACAAAGGUUACCAAGGAACUCAAUUGUUAUGUAUCAUUUUAUCCUGGAUUUUGUGUAUUCCAGGACCUUCCAGUGGGAAAUUGAAAGGGAUUGGUAAGGAGAAGGAUGGCCUCUAUUUCUUGAUUCAGUGAGGUCCCAAACACAACACUCAUGCUCCUAUUAAAGGUUUUGCUGCAAGUGAUGUCAACAAGGAUAUUAUGCUUUGGCAUAGAAGACUAGCCCAUGCUUCAGUAGGGUCAAUAAAGGAUAUGUUAGGCUACACUAUUGAUGCAUGUUGUAAUUAAAUGGUAGAUCUUCUCUUAUUCCAGUAGGUGAACAGUGAAUAAAUACAAUACAUAAGGUGCUAACUAAGGAAAGAAAUAAAGAGUGAUUCCUACAGAUCUGCAGUGAUCCCUAUAAAUCUGCUGCCUAUAUAUAGCUAUGUAUAUUACUAAGAUUAAGUCUAUAUACAUUCUAUAACACUUCCCCUCAAGCUGGAGCAUAUAUGUUGAUCAUGCCCAGCUUGUUACAAAGAUAAUCAACUCGAGUUCCAUUCAACGCCUUUGUGAGCAAAUCAGCUACUUGCUUUCCUGUCUUCACGUAGCCGAUGGAAAUCAAGUUUUCCUGAAUCUUCUCACGAAUAAAAUGACAGUCAACCUCAAUGUGUUUAGUUCUUUCAUGAUACACCGGAAUUGAGGCAAUAUGCAAGGCAGCUUGAUUAUCAUACCAAAGUUUUGCUGGUGUAUGAUAUUCCAACCCAAUUUCAGUUAGAAGAUGAUAUAUCCACAUAAUCUCACAUGUAGACUGUGACAUAGCUCUAUAUUCAGAUUCUGCACUGGAUCGAGAUACAACACUUUGCUUCUUACUCCUCUAUGACACUAGGUUCCCUCCAACAAAGACACAAUAGCCUGUAGUCGAUCUCCUAUCAAUUUUGGAUCCAGCAUAGUCAGCAUCUGCAAAACACUCAACACGAGUAUAACUGUGAUUGCUAUAUAAUAUCCUAAGACCCGGGGCUCCUUUCAAGUAACAUAAAAUAUGUUCCAAAGCUGCCCAGUGUUUGACUGUAGGUGAGGACAUGAACUGGCUAACAACACUUACGGCAAAAGCAAUGUCUGGACGAGUCACAACAAGGUAGUUUAACUUUCCAACUAACCUCCUGUAUCUCUCAGGAUCAUCAAAGGGGUCGCCGUCAUCUUUCAUAAGUUGCACAUUGGGAACCAUUGGAGUACUGCAAGGUUUAGCUGCCAACUUUCCAGUGUCUGCAAGAAGAUCAAGAGUAUACUUUCUCUGAGACAAAAGAAUUCUCUUCUUGUUUAUAUUUACCUCUAUACCCAAAAAGUACUUCAACUGAUCCAAAUCUUUCGUAUGAAACCUAGUAUGCAGGAAGGAUUUGAGGGAAGAGAUCCCUGCAUAAUCACUUCCUGUGAUGACAAUGUCAUCAACAUACAGUACUAGCUGGAUAGUGCCAACUGUUGAUUGUCGAUAGAAGACUGAGUGAUCACAUUUGCUCAUUUUCAUCCCAAACUCCAGGACUACCUCACUAAACUUCCCAAACCAAGCUCGGGGACUCUGUUUCAAGCCAUACAAGGACUUCUUCAAAUAACAGACUCGCCCAUACUCCCCCUGAGCAACAAAACCAGGUGGUUGCUCCAUAUAUACUUCCUCUUGAAGAUCACCAUGAAGGAAUGCAUUUUUGAUAUCCAACUGAUGUAAAGGCCAAUUCGCAGAAGCAGCUAGAGAAAUGAACAAGCGGACAGAAGUAAGUUUCGCAACCGGAGAGAAAGUGUCUGAAUAAUCCACUCCAUAAGUUUGAGCAUACCCUUUAGCCACAAGCCUAGCCUUAAGUCUUGCCACAGAACCAUCUGGAUUAACUUUAACUGUGAACACCCACUUACAUCCCACUGGUUUCUUCGUGCUAGGUAAAUCCACCAAAUCCCACGUGUGAUUUUCCUCUAAGGCAUGUAUUUCCUCAAGCAUCGCAUCAUACCAUCCAGGAGGCACAAUAGUAGAUUGGUGCUCAAUUGAAGAAUCAGGCGAUGUAUGAGAAACAUCAUUUGAUCGUUCUGGUAUGGCCCUGGUAACUUGGUACACUAACCACUCAUCUUCUUCCCCCUGACCCGUAGAAAUGGGAGGUGCAUAGAAGAAUGGUGUAGCCUUCGAAAAGGCUACAUCAGUUGAUACCAAAUAUUUUCCAAGUUCAGUAGAGUAACAACGAUAUCCUUUCUGAAGGCGAGAAUAUCCCAAGAAAACAUACUUCAAGGCCUUGGGAUCCAACUUGGUAACUGAUGGUCGAACAUCUCUAACAUAACAAACGCUUCCAAAUACCUUAGGUUCCACUGGAAAUAGGGACUUAUUUGGAAAAAGAAUGUUAUAGGGUACAUUACAUACAAGCACAGUAGAUGGCAUGCGAUUAAUCAGGAAAGAAGCUGUAGAGAUUGCAUCGGCCCAAGACUGUUUAGGAACCUUUGUUUGAAACAAUAGUGCCCGAGCUGUCUCAAGUAGAUGCCUAUUUUUUCUUUCAGCAACUCCAUUCUGAGAAGGCGUAUCAACACAAGAUGACUGGUGGAGAAUCCCAUGUUGCCUCAUAUACGACUGAAAUGAUUCUGACAUGUAUUCUUUAGCAUUAUCACUCCUUAGAAUACGCACUGACAUAUUGAACUGAGUUUUGACUUCAGCUCAAAAAGCACAAAAGUGAGUAAACACUUCAGAACGACUCUUCAUAAAAUAAAUCCAAGUCAUUUGAGAGAAAUCAUCCACAAAUGUGACAAAAUACUUAUGUCUGGUUUUGGAAACAACAGGACAUGGUCCCCAAACAUCUGAAUGAACUAACUCAAAAAUUGACUCCACCCGCUUAUUAACCCUUGGUUUUGUUGAGCUACGAUAGUGUUUGGCAAAUUGACACGACUCACAAUCUAGUGAAGGAAUAUUCUGAAACUGAGGAAAAAAGCUUCUUCAACAUAGGCAAAGAAGGAUGUCCUAAUCGACAAUGUGCCUCAAAUAGAGACACGACACAAGAGUAGGCAGCAAAUCGAGGCUCCCAAUAUUCAUCAAGAAUGUAGAGACUAUCGGAUACAUGUCCUUUACCAAUAACUUUAUUUGUCUUCAGAUCACGAAACAAACAAUGAUCGGGAAAGAAAGAGAUAUAACAGUUUAGGUCUCUGGUAAGCUUACUAACAGACAUCAAAUUAAAGGCUAACUUUGGUAGACCUAAUACAGAUGACAAGGUAAUGGAAGAAGUUGGUUUUACAGUCCCAGAUCCUAUAGUAUUACAGAUUGAACCAUCAGCAACCGUCACAGGAGAGAGUGCUCCAUGUGAUCGAAAGCUAGAAUAUAUAUUAAGAUUACCUGUCAUGUGAUCUGUGGCACCUGAAUCGAUCACCCAUUUAUUUGAAGAGGAUAUAAGACAUGUUUUCCUUGACUCAACAAGGGUAGUAACUGAAAUAGAUUCUUUUUGUAAUUUUUGAUGUUGUGAGAAUUUUGCAAACUCUUCCGCCGAAACCAAAGUUCUUUUAUCCGAAGACAUAGGAGCCACAAUUUCAGUCAUUCUCUCCAAAUAUUUUUAGCAGCACAAGAACUUAUCAACAGAAAAUAUAACCAGAAGCAUGUACGUGACCCCACAAAUAUUGAUGAACAAAUUCUAAAAAAUGAUUUUAUCAACUAAGAAACCAAUUGUUCACCCAAAAUGAAGAAUCUGAGUACUUUACCAGUAGACAAGAGCAAGUAAUGAACAAUUAAAUACCCAAGCAAGUAGUUCAGAGAAAGAAAACCUGAACCGCAGCUUAUGACCAAACAACACCAAUUAUCUGAUCUGAAGUAGAAGCUAGCAGCCACAGAACCACAAAGUACAGACCAGAUUCAGUGUAGCAGAAUAGAAAUGAACCAGGAAGUGACGAACAAACUUUUCCAGAUCGUAUUUUAACACCAAAACAGACCUGAGAAGUGACCGAACAGACUUUCCAGAUCUAUUUUAACACCAGAAUAGACCUGAGAUUCACUAGAAAUACGUGUCGAUGCCGUAAAUUAAAACCCAAUCAAUUCAGCCAGACACGCACCUUCACGUGCCGGCUCGUGAUGAACAAAAGACUGUAUGACCAGUGCGUGACAGCCACUCGCUUCACAACCAGAUGCCAGUGAAGACUGGUUUGGCUGGAAAAUAUACUCCGCCUCCUUCUGUGGUGGUGAUGACUGACCACUUUAAAUCAAUGGAAUAGAAAUCCAAACUUCUUCUGUAACACAGCCAAAACGACACGAGCCUAUUGGCUCUGAUACCAUGUAAUUGAAUGGUAGAUCUUCUCUUAUUCCAGUAGGUGAACAGUGAAUAAAUACAAUAUAUAAGGUGCUAACUAAGGAAAGAAAUAAAGAGUGAUCCCUAUAAAUCUGCUACCUAUAUAUAACUAUGUAUAUUACUAAGAUUAAGUCUAUAUACAUUCUAUAACACAUGUAAAUCAGUUCUGAGUCAUUGUGAGAUUUGCCCCUUAGCCAGACAUACCAGACUUCCUUUUGACAAUAGUAAUACUAAAACUACAGAAGCUUUUGCUUUAUUGCAUUUGGAUGUAUGGGGUCCUUAUAACACUCCAACUUUUGAUGGAAACAAAUAUUUCUUUACUAUUGUUGAUGAUUUCUCCAGAACUGUGUGGAUAUUUUUGUUAAAACUCAAAUGUGAUGUGUUGGUGAUUCUUAAACAUUUCUUUAGCAUGGUUACUACUCAAUUUAGUGCCAUCGUUAAGGGUGUAAGAACAGAUAAUGGAGGUGAAUUCAUCAAUACUCCCUUGCAAGACUUAUUUAAAAGUCUAGGGAUUAUUCAUUAUAGGACUUGUGCACAUACCCCUCAGCAGAAUGGGGUUGCUGAAAGGAAGCACAGACAUAUACUUGAGGUUGCUAGAGCUUUAAGGUUUCAGUGUCACAUACCAAUCAGAUUUUGGGGUCAUUGUGUCCUUACUGCUGCAUAUAUCAUUAACAGAUUACCUUUGCAUACUCUAGCAGGCAAAUCACCCUAUGAGCUUUUCUUUGGACAGAAGCCUUGUCUUAAACAUUUGAGGACACUUGGUUGUCUUUGUUUUGCAAGCACACUACCAAGGAUUGAUAAAUUUGCACCCAGAGCAGUUAAAUCAGUAUUCAUGGGUUAUUCAAGUGUUACCAAAGGCUAUAUCUGUUUUGAUCUACAACUACAUAAGUUUUUUGUGAAUAGAGAUGUGGUGUUUCAUGAGGAACAAUUCCCUUUUAGUCACUUAUCAUAAGAUCCCAUAUCUUCUCCUUCAACUUUUGAUCCAUGUACAGAUGAUGAUUUUCUUGUUGCUAGUCCUACCUCUCAUGUUAAUCCUUCUCCUAUGGCACAAGUAACACCUCUUGUCCCUCUAGUUCUUGUGUCCCCACAUCUUGUUAGUCCUGAGCAGCCUCUCAGAAGAUCUACUAGACUCACUAAACAACCUUUUAUGGUUAUUUGAAUAUGUUUCCAAGCCUUCUGCUAGUGCUGUUUUGUAUCCCCAGCAGCCUCAGUCUCCUACUCUCGUUUAUCUCCAUCUUAUCAGAAGUAUCUACAGGUUUUUUCUGCUGUCACUGAACCCUCUUCCUAUCAGGAAGCUAGCACUGAUACAAGAUGGGUAGAGGCUAUGGCAUCUGAAUUGCAAGCUCUUCAAGAUAAUAAUACUUGGGAUUUAGUUCCUCUCCCAAGAGGUAAAGUUCCGAUUGGAUGCAGAUGGGUUUAUAAGGUUAAAUUGAAGGCUAAUGGUGAAGUUGAGAGGUUUAAAGCGAGGUUGGUAGCAAAAGGUUACACUCAAAGGGAAGGGCUUGAUUUUCAUGAAACUUUUUCCCCUGUGGUUAAAAUAGCUACUGUCAGGACUGUUCUGUCUUUGGCUGCUCAGCAUAAUUGGUUUAUUCAUCAGUUAGAUGUCUACAAUGCAUUUUUACAGGGUGAUCUUCAUGAUGAGGUCUAUAUGCAAUUACCUGAGGGCCUUGCAAGUCAGGGGAAGUCUGGUCUAGUAUGCAGACUUGUCAAAUCCCUCUAUGGACUCAAACAGGCAAGCAGACAAUGGAAUUUGAAGCUAAGUGAUGCAUUGUUGAAGUCUGGUUUUAUUCAGAGCAGUCUAGAUCAUUCCUUAUUCAUUAAGAGGCAAGGAUUAGAUAUGGUGGUGAUUCUUAUCUAUGUGGAUGACAUGUUGGUAACAGGAAGUAGUUUGGAUCUUAUUGAACACACAAAAGCUACUCUACACAAAGCUUUUAAGAUCAAAGACCUUGGAGAAUUAAAGUUCUUUUUGGGGAUGGAGUUUAGUCGAUCAGCAAAAGGUAUCUUAAUGAAUCAAAGAAAAUAUGCUUUGGAAAUCAUUUCAGAUUUGGGAUUAGGAAAUGCUAAGCCAGCCUGGACUCCACUUGAAGCAAAUGCUAAAUUAACAAUCCCAGAAUUAGACUGCCUCACAGGAGAUUUAGAUGAUGAAUUGUUUGAUGAUAGAGAACAAUACCAAAGGUUAGUGGGCAAGAUGUUGUACUUGACCAUGACCAGACCAGAUAUUGCAUAUUCAGUUCAGACUCUUAGUUUUUACAGCAACCAAAAAAAUCACACUGGGAAGCAGCUGUGAGGGUGAUGAAGUAUAUUAAGAGAGAACCAGGGCUUGGAGUAUUAUUAAGCAGCAAAAGAUCAAGUAGACUAAGUGUGUACUGUGAUGCUGAUUGGGCAGCAUGUCCAAACACAAGAAGAUCAGUAUCAGGCUUUCUAGUUAGACAUGGUGAGACACUAUUGUCAUGGAAGUCAAAGAAACAAAGUGUAGUUUCCAGGAGUUCAGCAGAAGCUGAAUACAGGAGUAUGGCCAAUGCAGUCUCAGAAUUGGUGUGGAUAAUUGCUUUGUUGAAAGAACUAGGAAGUGAAGUUGAACAACCAGCUGUGGUGUACAGUGAUAGUAAAGCAGCCUUACAAAUUGCAGCAAAUCCAGUAUUUCACGAAAGAACAAAACACAUAGAAAUUGAUUAUCAUUUUAUUAGGCAAAAGAUACAGACAGGAAUGAUAAGAACAGAAUAUGUGAGUUCCAAAGAGCAACUAGCAGACCUAUUUCACUAAAGGGCUGCCCAGAUCACAACAUGAAUGUUUGGUAGGCAAGCUUGGUGUGUUGAAUGUUUUUACACCCACCAGCUUGAGGGGGAGUAAUGUGAUAGGAAUUACGUAAUGAUGUAUACAAAGUUAGUUAAGGGUAGUUAAGGAAUUAGAGAAACUUGUUAAUAAGUGGUGGUUAGUCGGUUAGAGGAAAAAAACAGUGUAUAAAACCACUGUUACAUUGUAAUUGGAUUAGUCAGUCAAUUUCUCUUUUCUGUAUCAUGAAAUAAGAAUCUCUCCUUUCUUCUUCUAUAACACAUCUGUGAAACACCAUUAAUGGUGAACUUAGAUUGAGUAAUUGGAUGUAAUUCAACAAGGUACACCUACUAGAGCUCGAGUUCUGGUGGAACUGGUAUGACAGAUAACACCUACUGGAGGUCGGCUAUUUGUUGUUGCUCUAAUCCUGCAGUUUGACAUAUGUAAUAAACGUUUUUCCUAGUUGGUAAGUUGACAAACUCAGCUCUGUAAACUUGGAAUAAGGUUUUAGUUGCUCUAUCUUGGUGAGUUUAAAAUUUGUGAUCACAAUCUGCAAUUGUAUACGAGUAGUUUCAAUGCAACUUUGAGUUUCUACUAGCCAAGCUUGUUAAUUUACUCUCUGGCUGAGGUUGAUUUUCUUUCUCAGAGGUUUUGCAUUUCUUAUCUUGCGUAGGACAAUUUGAUCAAGUGAAAAUUGAUAUCUGCAUUUGACUCUAAUUUCUGAGAUUGACCGAGUAUUAAUUUGUAAGUUUGAGUUGAGUCUUACUUGUGCAAUAUAAAAUUGGAAAAGUGGUGAUGUUUGGAUAGGAUUUUCUUGAUCAAGAUUGUUCCUGGAAGACAAGAUUAUUGCCCAAAUUAAGAUAAAACAUAAGAUUAAUUUUCUUUAAGAAAAACAUAGGAUUAAUUUUCUUGUUAACUUACAAGAUUCUCGCCCAAAUUAAGACAAGAUCUUGCUCAUGUGCUUUCUUUGUUUCCUCCACCUUGUUCGAUGAUAUCUAAUCAACACCAAGGGCUCCGUUUUGUGGCUAAUUUAUAUGAAGUAUAUUACCACGUGCAUAACUAUCUUAUGCCACUGUAAACUUGGUCUGCUAAACUGUUAUUUGCCUUUUAGAUCAUCAAUCAUCUGUCUGACAACUAGAAAGCAUGUGUGUUUAGUUUUGCCAUUGUUCCUUGGGAACUUCUAUCAGCAAAGAUAAUGACUAGUCAUGAAAAAGGUCACAUGAUCCUAUCAGAAGUUGAGUUUGUUGUCCUCUGAUUUGUAUACUUUUUUAUGCUACAGGUUAAUAUGAUACCAUGACUCCACCACAACCUCCAUUUGGAGCAAGACAGGUCUGUACCUCAAAUUUCUAUUAGCACAUAGAGCAUGUCGUUAAUCAUAUUUUUCUUUUAAGCAAGCUAAUCUAUGUUGUUUAGGCAUCUAAAGCCUUCACAUUUUGAGAGUGGAAGGACUCCUUGAAUAUUUGUGCUAUAAAACUUUUGUUUUCCUUAUUGUUUCUUGUAUGCUGAAAUUUUUCCACUCGUUAAUGUAAAAAUUUGCCCUAUAAGAAAAUUGAAUCAAAUAUUCAGAUAGUUGAAUAUACUUCACAUAAGAUUGUUUUUCUCACCAUCAUAAUGAUUUUAGGUAAAUGUAUUUUUUAUUGAUUUUGGACUAGUUCCAUGAGUUAAUUAUAGUCAAUGCUUCCUGAUUGGGUAUAGAACUAUAACUAGAUUGUACUUUGGAGUGGAUUUUUUUUACUGUUUACUUUAUAUUUUAACUGUUUCAAUACCUUUUUCUCUUUAUAAAUGAAGCCUAAUGUCACGGACUUGCUGAUUUUAGAAAUAAUUAUCUAAUUAGACAAACUUAUACUUAUACACAGUUAGCCAAUUCUCCUGAGUUGGAUGCAAAGAUGUGUGACAUAUGCUACAGCACGGCUGCAGCUCCAACAUAUUUUCCACCACAUUAUUUUGUCACUAAUGAUGCUAAAGGAAAUCAAGUUGAGUUCAAUCUUAUUGAUGGUAGUGUUGCUGCUGCAAAUCUGGUACGUAAUUAGACAUACUUCACUAUCAUAUAUACUAUUAUUACCUGUACUUUUUAAAAUACUACGUAUCUUAUCAUCAAUUAAGAGUUUCCCACUACAACAAAAAUGAGCAAUAGUGACAAUAAAUUCUUAAUUGCUGCUAAAUAUAUACUUUUCGCGGCAAUUAACACUCUUUGUAUAUGUCCCUAAAGUCUUUAGCGACAUUGCAUCUAAUGGCACUUAAUUAAUGCCGAUAAAGACUUUAGCUGUAACAAACUCAAUUCCAACAAAAGCACUCUUAUAUAUAUUAAUCAGUGAAUACAAGUUACAAGGUAGAAUACGCAUAACAAAGUAAUAAUACACUAACUAAGGAAAGAUAAACCGAGAAAGAAGUAACUAGAAAGGGAUGAGAUACAAGACCAUAGAGAGGAGAUGAGAGGAUCAGAAAGCCAAAUGUCACGGACUUAGAGUCUUACUAAUACUCUGUGCGGCACUUGACAACUUACUCACGAAUCUUUCACGAUCUUGUAAGCUCAAGUAAGCCCUUUAUGCUAAGAUCGCUAAGGAAAUGUAAAGGAAGACUUAGAAAGAUUAAAGAGAGCUUUUUGGAAGAAGGCUUUUGUAUUAGCUUGGAAGGAAUGCUUUACAACUUGCUUGGUUGCUUUCUUGGUUGGAUGCCUUGCAAAUGAAUGGCACCACCUAUUUAUACUAAAUCCUAAGGACUAAAGUGCAAAUAAAAAUUACUUACAAGUCCCUCUAAUAUUUACACAAAAGCCCCUCUUCUAGAAUUCUCUAUACCUCUAGAGAAUUCUAAGGCUUUCUUGAAACUAUCUAAAUUAUUCUAGAGAAUUCUAAGGAAUUCUCUAGCCUUCUUGAAUAAUCUAAAGGGUUCUAGAGUCUUCCGGAAACCUCUCCACAACUCUAGACCCUUCCGCCCCUAUCCGGACGCAAAAUUCUACUGCGAAGUGGCGGGACGUGACACUAAGCUAUUAGCUGCAGCCCGAUAAAUGCUAAUUGGUUGGAAACAUUUGGUGGAGACGAAAGAGAAUUUGUAUAGAAGAUUGGUCAAGGUGAUUCUAGUUUAAAGUUGUUAGAAGGUAAAUGAGUAAUGAUUGGCAUUAAAAAAUUGUCUCGUAUAUAUCAUCCAAAUGAUUUAUGGCAUUAGAUACGUCUUAUUCAUAUAAAUACCUUUUAGUUUUUUAUUUUUUGACAUAUGGUGCAGAUCACAAAGAUUCUGGCUUUUAGUCCUGAUGGUCAGUUGCCUUCUCCUGAAAGCAUUGAUGGGCAUAUAAGAGUCGGACACAACUUCAGGUAGUCUGAAGGGAAAAUUUGAAGGUCCUAAAAGGGAAAUAAAUACAAGUGAAACAUUUCCUUAUGCCUAAGAAAUUCAUCUUUGCAUGACAAUUUGAGAUCCAGUGGAUCUGAUAGCAUCUAAGAAGACAUCUGGUGCAGAGUAUCCUGUUGUUUUGAUGUGGAAUGAUGACAUCCGAGAGGACACGAGAUAAUGGUUUAUGAGAGGAUAUAGAUAUGUACUCUAUGAUGUUUAGGGAUUUGAAAUAUGGAAGAUUAUUGAAAUUAGAAUAAGAUUAGCUUUUUGAAUCAAGUGGUGUAAUUUUUUUCAUAUUAUGAUUAUGAAUGAAUUGUUACUUUUUUGUUUAUUGUGAUUUUAAUGAAGGACGUC